GACGUAGGGUCCAAGCGUUGUCCGGAUUUACUGGGCGUAAAGAGCGCGUAGGCGGCUCGUUAAGUGUGAAGUGAAAUCUCUAGGGCUCAACCCAGAAACUGCUUUACAUACUGGCGAGCUGGAGUGAUGCAGAGGUUUGUGGAAUUCCUGGUGUAACGGUGAAAUGUGUUGAUAUCAGGAGGAACACCGGUGGCGAAGGCGGGUCUCUGGGCCGAUACUGACGCUGAGGAGCGAAAGCGUGGGGAGCGAACAGG
Molecule: ribosomal RNA, 254 nt
Filed under: uncultured bacterium
Lineage: Bacteria
Description: partial 16S ribosomal RNA
Rfam family: Bacterial small subunit ribosomal RNA
Source: RNAcentral